Bubalus bubalis (water buffalo) is the source of this 1201-nucleotide long non-coding RNA. RefSeq lists it as uncharacterized. Lineage: Eukaryota; Metazoa; Chordata; Mammalia; Artiodactyla; Bovidae. The transcript is spliced from 4 exons. The record is from RefSeq and is a predicted model, not a curated record.
GGCAACCCACUCCAGUGUUCUUGCCUGGAGAAUCCCAGAGACGGGGGAGCCUGGUGGUCUGCCGUCUUUGGGGUCGCACAGAGUUGGACAUGACUGAAGCGACUUAGUAGCAGCAACAGCAGCCGCAGACUCCAUCCCAGGGGUCAGGGAGGCGCGCUGCCUGCUUGGGAGCGAGGAGCGAACUGACCCGGGUCUCUGCGGUGAGAAACCUUUCCCAUGGUCUCCUUGGCUUCCUUGCAAAGGCUGGGGAACUGCCAGAGGCCUCCCACGUGGCGAAAAUCACAGCACCUUCGGAGCAGGAAGGAUGGAGUCAGAAGUGGCCCCAACCAGCCUCCUUCCUGGCUGAGGCUUGGGGAAGGGCGGCCCUGGCUGCUCGCCAUGUUCUCCAGUUCUCCAGCUCCAAGGCACGACCCUGCCCGCCCUGCCUUCCUUCCACCUCUACCUGCUCUCUGGAUUGCCUGUAAGAAUUUCCCCCUCAGCCCUUGCAGGGCAGACUGCUCUCCUGUUGGUGGAGGAAGGCAGAUGUAGCUGGCUUAUGAAGCACAGCAGGGACCAAGUGGGUAACAGGUUGCUGAGAGAAGGAUUCAAACUGAGGUCCUGUGAAGCUCACCCCUCUCCUGCACACAGAUUUCUACCUUUUCUUGAAGCUGCUUUGAAUUGGUUUGCAUUCUGGGAACCAAAUGACCCCUAGGAUAGAAGACAAGGUGAGAAGUCCAGGUUGGGUGCAGGAUCCCUGCGCUGGAGGAGCCCGGAGGAAGGGGGUUGGGAUCUUCCUGGGGCCUCAGCAAAUGACUGGGGUCUCACCCCAGGCAGAGAGGAGAGACAGAAGGGGCAUCCCAGGGAGUAGGGGGCAGCCUGGCAGAGGGAACAGCCCACACCGAGAUGGGCAGAUGUGCAAGUGGCCGACAUGCUCUGGAGCCUUCCUACAGGGGUGUGCUGGCAAGUGAUUAAAAUCUGGCUUUCUGACCUAAAUUACGAAAUCAGUCAUUCAUUUGUAGCAUGUGCUGAUUCCCACGGUGUCAGUCCUCCUGCCAUGGUCAAUUUCAGGCUGUUGAUGUGAUGUCAGUUUUUGAAUGUGGAGAGAGCGGUUCCCGUGAACUGGUCAGAGCCGGUUCUAGGAGACCACCCAUCAGGUCAGCAGGUCAUCACCUAAAUGCAGGAGCCACAUGGAGAGGACAGGAGAGGAGGAGCAAGAUGGAGU